This 402-nucleotide ribosomal RNA is filed under the name uncultured bacterium. Its description in RNAcentral is "bacterial SSU rRNA". It matches the Rfam family "Bacterial small subunit ribosomal RNA", at positions 355 to 774 of the family's 1533-position model. The record is from RNAcentral.
UGGGGAAUCUUGCACAAUGGGGGAAACCCUGAUGCAGCGACGCCGCGUGAACGAUGAAGCCCUUCGGGGUGUAAAGUUCUUUCGACAGGAACGAUAAUGACGGUACCUGGAGAAGAAGCUGCGGCUAACUACGUGCCAGCAGCCGCGGUAAUACGUAGGCAGCGAGCGUUGUUCGGAGUUACUGGGCGUAAAGCGCGUGCAGGCGGAUUGGAGAGUUGGAUGUGAAAGCUCCCGGCUUAACUGGGAGAGGUCGUUCAAUACUUCCAGUCUUGAGUGCAGUAGAGNGAAGUGGAAUUCCGGGUGUAGUGGUGAAAUGCGUAGAUAUCCGGAGGAACACCAGUGGCGAAAGCGGCUUCCUGGACUGUAACUGACGCUCAGACGCGAAAGCUAGGGUAGCAAACG